AUUGAACGCUGGCGGCAUGCCUUACACAUGCAAGUCGAACGGUAACAGGUCUUCGGAUGCUGACGAGUGGCGAACGGGUGAGUAAUGCAUCGGAACGUGCCCAGUUGUGGGGGAUAACUGCUCGAAAGAGCAGCUAAUACCGCAUACGACCUGAGGGUGAAAGCGGGGGAUCGCAAGACCUCGCGCAAUUAGAGCGGCCGAUGUCAGAUUAGGUAGUUGGUGGGGUAAAGGCCUACCAAGCCGACGAUCUGUAGUUGGUCUGAGAGGACGACCAGCCACACUGGGACUGAGACACGGCCCAGACUCCUACGGGAGGCAGCAGUGGGGAAUUUUGGACAAUGGGCGCAAGCCUGAUCCAGCAAUGCCGCGUGCAGGAAGAAGGCCUUCGGGUUGUAAACUGCUUUUGUCAGGGAAGAAAUCCUCUGGGUUAAUACCCCGGGGGGAUGACGGUACCUGAAGAAUAAGCACCGGCUAACUACGUGCCAGCCGCCGCAGUAA
Molecule: ribosomal RNA, 498 nt
Filed under: uncultured bacterium
Lineage: Bacteria
Description: partial 16S ribosomal RNA
Rfam family: Bacterial small subunit ribosomal RNA
Source: RNAcentral